ACUUGAUUUUUAAAAAAAUACAAUGUCUGAAUAAUUUCCUUUAAUGAAAUAAAACUUUCAACAACGGAUCUCUAGGCUCUUGCAUCGAUGAAGAACGCAGUGAAAUGCGAUAAGUAAUGAGAAUUGCAGAAUCUCGUGAAUCAUCGAAUCUUUGAACGCACAUUGCGCCCUUUGGUAUUCCAUAGGGCAUGCCUGUCUGAGCGUCAGCUCCCCCUCACUCAAGUAUCCUUUCAUAAGAUACUUGAAUUGCUUUGGAGAGGUAACUGUGUAUUAAGUUGCCCUCCAGAAAUUUAUAGGCAGCAUGGUUUGUACU
Molecule: ribosomal RNA, 313 nt
Filed under: Terfezia claveryi
Lineage: Eukaryota; Fungi; Ascomycota; Pezizomycetes; Pezizales; Pezizaceae
Description: 5.8S ribosomal RNA
Rfam family: 5.8S ribosomal RNA (bases 53-206)
Source: RNAcentral